This 217-nucleotide long non-coding RNA is filed under the name Gallus gallus (chicken). The record is from RNAcentral. Lineage: Eukaryota; Metazoa; Chordata; Aves; Galliformes; Phasianidae.
AUCAGAUAAUGCAGAGAAAUGCUGUGCUGAGGGCCUUCCCAUCUUGAAGAGUCCUGGAGCGCUUUUAACUGCGUUUCUUAACACAAGAUCUGCAUCAGUGUAAAAGUUUGGUCUUGUCUCUUUGUUGAAUCUUCUAAAUCUUUGUACUUGCAUAGAGUGAAAAGAAUUGCUCUUGAGGCAAAGGCAGAUCUAUAUUUUGAUAGUGCAUCACCUCCAU